RNAcentral lists this ribosomal RNA (869 nucleotides) under Limosilactobacillus fermentum. Its description in RNAcentral is "bacterial SSU rRNA". It matches the Rfam family "Bacterial small subunit ribosomal RNA", at positions 62 to 904 of the family's 1533-position model. Lineage: Bacteria; Bacillati; Bacillota; Bacilli; Lactobacillales; Lactobacillaceae. The record is from RNAcentral.
UUGAUUGAUGGUGCUUGCACCUGAUUGAUUUUGGUCGCCAACGAGUGGCGGACGGGUGAGUAACACGUAGGUAACCUGCCCAGAAGCGGGGGACAACAUUUGGAAACAGAUGCUAAUACCGCAUAACAACGUUGUUCGCAUGAACAACGCUUAAAAGAUGGCUUCUCGCUAUCACUUCUGGAUGGACCUGCGGUGCAUUAGCUUGUUGGUGGGGUAACGGCCUACCAAGGCGAUGAUGCAUAGCCGAGUUGAGAGACUGAUCGGCCACAAUGGGACUGAGACACGGCCCAUACUCCUACGGGAGGCAGCAGUAGGGAAUCUUCCACAAUGGGCGCAAGCCUGAUGGAGCAACACCGCGUGAGUGAAGAAGGGUUUCGGCUCGUAAAGCUCUGUUGUUAAAGAAGAACACGUAUGAGAGUAACUGUUCAUACGUUGACGGUAUUUAACCAGAAAGUCACGGCUAACUACGUGCCAGCAGCCGCGGUAAUACGUAGGUGGCAAGCGUUAUCCGGAUUUAUUGGGCGUAAAGAGAGUGCAGGCGGUUUUCUAAGUCUGAUGUGAAAGCCUUCGGCUUAACCGGAGAAGUGCAUCGGAAACUGGAUAACUUGAGUGCAGAAGAGGGUAGUGGAACUCCAUGUGUAGCGGUGGAAUGCGUAGAUAUAUGGAAGAACACCAGUGGCGAAGGCGGCUACCUGGUCUGCAACUGACGCUGAGACUCGAAAGCAUGGGUAGCGAACAGGAUUAGAUACCCUGGUAGUCCAUGCCGUAAACGAUGAGUGCUAGGUGUUGGAGGGUUUCCGCCCUUCAGUGCCGGAGCUAACGCAUUAAGCACUCCGCCUGGGGAGUACGACCGCAAGGUUGAAACUCAA